ACACACAGGACAGAUAUCUGAGGAGCUGGAAGCAGCUAACCGUCUCCUACAGCAGGCCCAGCAGCCCUACAGUUACCUGAUCGACACGGUGAGACAGAGAGACACACAGAUACUGUCCCUCAGAGAACGCAUCACACAGCUGGAGGAGGACACCAGAUCUCUGAGGAAAGAGAAGACGUCUCUCCAACAGGUGAAGAACAAUAUGGCCUCCGACCUGGAGCGACUGCUCAACCACCGAGAGGUACACACACACACACACACACACACACACACACACAC
Molecule: long non-coding RNA, 279 nt
Organism: Oncorhynchus keta (chum salmon)
Lineage: Eukaryota; Metazoa; Chordata; Actinopteri; Salmoniformes; Salmonidae
Exons: 3
Source: RefSeq, a predicted model, not a curated record